UAAAUCUGAAUUUAAAACCUCGAAAGAUCGACAACACGGUAUCCGUCAUACAUUAUCCGAUCAACUCCGUUUCAAGGUAUGUUCUUCCUUGUGCCUUCUAGUCCGUCUUCACCAUUGGGAUUUGAGAGAUAAGCUUAGAAAGCCUCGAACAAAAAGCUAAGUAUUCUUCUCUUACAGUGAUCGCUAGUCAGCCUUGUCCAAAUCAUGAUGCAUUUGAAUAAAAGGGAAUGUCACUACUUGAGACCUUUCAACAUCUUCUAUUGCUUUAUCAUUUUCACUCGCAUUUGGAAGUUUGUUGUGUUGUCAUCUUUAAAAUGUUCGUAUUUAAAUGGAAAGAGUUUGGUC
Molecule: long non-coding RNA, 345 nt
Filed under: Gossypium barbadense (sea-island cotton)
Lineage: Eukaryota; Viridiplantae; Streptophyta; Magnoliopsida; Malvales; Malvaceae
Description: long non-coding RNA (GBAR_LNC020854)
Source: RNAcentral